AAACCCAAGCAAUGUGGCCCAUUGGUCAUUUUCUAUCCGAAGGCAAACUUGGAAGAAGUCACAUCACAAGCAAGUCCUCCAUAGGUCCUUCGUAAAUUUCAGCUAUUGAAUACGACGCCUGUUUCAGCAUAUCUGAGGUUUGGCUUGGCUUAAGAAUAAGCAUGAGCGAUGAACCGAGAUGAAAAAAAGGAAGCACAUUUUUUGGGCUGCUGAACCAGAACUACAAUCUUUCACUUUUGCGAUUUGUUAGAAAAUUAUUCUCAAGAACCGGAAUAUGUUGAUGGAAAAAGCUACUCGAAAGAAUUAAAACGGGCUUAAACAUGAAUGACCCCACCAGGGAGACCCUAACAAGAUAAGUAUUCUUUCACUGCGAGGAAUUAUGCUCCUUAAUCCUCUGUUUCUGUGGGUAGUAUUCAUUCACGCUUCAACUUGAUCUAGGCUCAUUUAAUCCAGAUUCAGACUAUCCAAGACGAAGUGUUACGAAGAGAGCAUUAGAAUACAGAUCCCCACCAUCAGAAUACAAAUUUUGUCUGGCCAUUGAACCACCAGUCACUUGCUAUUCGAAGGCAAAUUUGGAUGAGAUUGCAUUUCUCUUAGGAGCAAUAUCUCCAAAGGUCCUCCAGAAAGUUGAAUGGGGUUUCAUCGAGAAAAUCGAGUUUUCUGUACGCGAAAUUAUUGAGACUUUGGCGGACGAAAACUAUAAACAGAGAAGCAGAGAUGCCGAGAGAAACACCUAGACAUCAACCUGCCAGCGAUUUAGAGAUCUGGAAAAUAGCCGAACCUAAGAGCUCAAUCCAGAAGCAGGAACGAAGGCCGUCGGCAGCCUCGGGAAGACUUAUUAUCGCAGGAUUCAUACGACGGCUGAAUCCCACCAAAUCCCGAACCAGCAGUCCAAACAAGUAUUGAGAAAAGGGCGGAGGGAGGAUACCGCUAUCAACUGUUGCAACGGGAUUCCCACAGUCAAAUAGAGAAGAGGCUUAUCCCUAGGGCAAACAUCGCGUCGCAACGUCCCAUAAACAGGCAGGAAAGAAGCCCCGAUGCUAAGUCUCCCCCGUCGACAAAUACUAAGGUAGAGAGAAUCUCUCAACUGUCUCCAUCUCGUCACGGCGCCAGUAUUAAUAGUCUCAAGUCCGCUAAACCCUAACCCUGAAUCACCUCUCC
This 1161-nucleotide long non-coding RNA is filed under the name Spirodela polyrhiza (greater duckweed). Its description in RNAcentral is "long non-coding RNA (SPOL_LNC001347)". Lineage: Eukaryota; Viridiplantae; Streptophyta; Magnoliopsida; Alismatales; Araceae. The record is from RNAcentral.